Molecule: ribosomal RNA, 546 nt
Filed under: uncultured bacterium
Lineage: Bacteria
Description: bacterial SSU rRNA
Rfam family: Bacterial small subunit ribosomal RNA
Source: RNAcentral
AGUGAAUAGAUACCCGGGUAGUCCACGCCGUAAACGAUGAGUGCUAAGUGUUAGAGGGUUUCCGCCCUUUAGUGCUGAAAGUUAAACGCAUUAAGCACUCCGCCUGGGGAGUACGGCCGCAAGGCUGAAACUCAAAGGAAUUGACGGGGGCCCGCACAAGCGGUGGAGCAUGUGGUUUAAAUUCGAAGCAACGCGAAGAACCUUACCAGGUCUUGACAUCCUCUGAAAACCCCUAGAGAUAGGGCUUCUCCUUCGGGAGCAGAGUGACAGGUGGUGCAUGGUUGUCGUCAGCUCGUGUCGUGAGAUGUUGGGUUAAGUCCCGCAACGAGCGCAACCCUUGAUCUUAGUUGCCAUCAUUAAGUUGGGCACUCUAAGGUGACCGCCGGUGACAAACCGGAGGAAGGUGGGGAUGACGUCAAAUCAUCAUGCCCCGUUAUGACCUGGGCUACACACGUGCUACAAUGGACGGUACAAACGAGCUGCAAGACCGCGAGGUGGAGCUAAUCUCAUAAAACCCGGUUCUCAGUUCGGAUUGUAGGCUGCAAC